RNAcentral lists this long non-coding RNA (1278 nucleotides) under Phaseolus vulgaris (common bean). Its description in RNAcentral is "long non-coding RNA (PVUL_LNC002535)". Lineage: Eukaryota; Viridiplantae; Streptophyta; Magnoliopsida; Fabales; Fabaceae. The record is from RNAcentral.
UUAAGAGGGAUACUUAAGGGGUAUCCCAACCCGUAUACAGAACCAAAACUAUUACACCUAAUGGAUACUAACAGGACCAUACAUAAAAGCUUAUAAUAGGUAAACCUAGAAAUAACUACCAUCAAACCUUCCUCGGGAACCUAAGGAGAGGCAAGCAAAAAAGAAUCUACAAGAACAACCUUGGGUAUAGAUCCCAUAGGUACCUACAGUGUCACCAGGAGAUGCACAAAAGAGGACUAGAUUCUUAGCAUCAGAAGACUGAUAUGAUCUUUCCAAAAGCCUCAGGUUUAACAAGGCCAUAAAUUCAGGAUGACCCUUGCACCCACCCACCUUUAUAUACCGGCCACUUGGGGUAGAAACCAGGGGAAAUGUAUGAGUUCAUACUGUUUCCACAGACUUGAGAUAUCUACUUCAAGUGAUAUAGGCUCUUGAUAAUCCUUCAUGUCUCUUUCGAGCCCUUAGCCUCCAGAUUGUCUCCUUAACUAUGCGUAAACCACUUUACUCUGACUGCUCCCUGUUCUGCAGACCCACACCAGCACACCAACCUUUUGACAAGCAAAUCUGUGACUCAUGUGUGCUCACGAUGGUACCAUAUUAGAUACCACACUACUCCUUAACAGUUUACACCUUAAUAAACUUCUAACAACCAAAACUUCUUCCAAUUUGAAUUCUUCCAUCCAUUUUCCACUGUUGUCCAUCGUGUUGAGGGUGUGGUGACAGCUAGUAGAUAUCCUCUUACUGCUACACAUUCAAAACACCACGACUGCCUACACUUUUUGCUGGGAAUGGCAUCCUGUAUAUUCUAGCAUUCCUCCAACACUACAGACCUCUCACAGCAUGCAUAAACCCACCCUAAUGCAAUAACCAAUUGUGACUUUCUAAUGAUCCAAGCAUAAGCUUCUCAUACAAAGAAAAACCUUAAGCCAGAAAAACCAGAAUCUGCCUCACAAGCAGCACAUGUAGUUCGCACAUGUGAUACAUCUAGAGAGCUGACUAGGUGUUGUGUCUCCAUCUUCUCCACUUCCCUUCGCACCUAGCACCAGAACUCAACACCUGCAUCGACAUACACAUCAUCUCAGAUACCAUUUCCAGCAAGAGACAUAAACUGUUGCACUAAAACCCCUGCAUCUACUUCAGACCAGCCCAUUCCAUCAUACUGCAACCGUGACAUGAUAUUUCUUGACGCAUUUGGGCCCUACUUGUAGCUUCUAAUGCAUAUCAUUGGAUUAGUAACCCAGUCUACGAAGGAGUAGUGAAAGGACUGCACCUUAUGCUUCA